This 465-nucleotide ribosomal RNA is filed under the name uncultured bacterium. RNAcentral's name for it is "partial 16S ribosomal RNA". It matches the Rfam family "Bacterial small subunit ribosomal RNA", at positions 28 to 507 of the family's 1533-position model. The record is from RNAcentral.
GACGAACGCUGGCGGCGUGCUUAACACAUGCAAGUCGAACGGAAAGGCCCUGCUUGCAGGGUACUCGAGUGGCGAACGGGUGAGUAACACGUGGGUGAUCUGCCCUGCACUUCGGGAUAAGCCUGGGAAACUGGGUCUAAUACCGGAUAGGAGCCAUUUUUAGUGUGAUGGUUGGAAAGUUUUUUCGGUGUAGGAUGAGCUCGCGGCCUAUCAGCUUGUUGGUGGGGUAAUGGCCUACCAAGGCGGCGACGGGUAGCCGGCCUGAGAGGGUGGACGGCCACAUUGGGACUGAGAUACGGCCCAGACUCCUACGGGAGGCAGCAGUGGGGAAUAUUGCACAAUGGGCGCAAGCCUGAUGCAGCGACGCCGCGUGGGGGAUGACGGCCUUCGGGUUGUAAACUCAUUUCGCUAGGGACGAAGCUUUUUGUGACGGUACCUAGAGAAGAAGCACCGGCUAACUACGUG